This 537-nucleotide long non-coding RNA is filed under the name Populus trichocarpa (black cottonwood). RNAcentral describes it as "long non-coding RNA (PTRI_LNC003262)". Lineage: Eukaryota; Viridiplantae; Streptophyta; Magnoliopsida; Malpighiales; Salicaceae. The record is from RNAcentral.
UCGGUUUCGAUGGUGGUAGUAUAAUCCCAAACCGAAUAGUAGCCCAAAAUUUUUGAGAUUGAGAACAGACCAUUUUCAUCUCAUCUUAAGGCUAAAAUCUUUUGAAAUUAAAACUUCAAACUCAAUUAACAAAUUCAAUUGUUCCGGGACCUAAUAACCUUUAUUCUUGAUCCAAGUGUACGGAAGAAAGGAGUUGAGGUUCAAACCCAACAACCUCUUCAAUAAGGAAAAAAACUUGCUACCACGCACUAGGACGAAAGCUUAAUCCUAAUGAACUUUGUAUUUCAAAGCACAACAGGAAAACCAUUUUCUCCGUUGGGUGUCACAGGUAACCCAUCGUAAAUCUCAUUCUUCUGCAGCUUUGGUAAAGCAAGACUCCGUAGCUUCCUUACAUAUAAUAGCUUCUUCCUUGCUUGUUCCAUUACCAUCCUUGCAUGUCUCUUUAAGCGUAUCUCUUCGAAUCUAAAAUUAAAGCUCUACCCCUUUUUCUUCGGCUACUCUGAUAACUAGUUAAAGUCAAAGGAUGCUUUGUCUGUG